UUCUAUGGCCAUGCUUCCCUGAACAAGCCCAAUCCCAUCUGAUCUCGGAAGCUAAGCAGGGUUGGGUCUGGUUAGUACUUAGAUGGGAGAAAACCUAGGAAGACCAGGUGCUGUAGGCA
RNAcentral lists this ribosomal RNA (119 nucleotides) under Pteropus alecto (black flying fox). The record is from RNAcentral. Lineage: Eukaryota; Metazoa; Chordata; Mammalia; Chiroptera; Pteropodidae.